Molecule: ribosomal RNA, 503 nt
Filed under: uncultured archaeon
Lineage: Archaea
Description: bacterial SSU rRNA
Rfam family: Archaeal small subunit ribosomal RNA
Source: RNAcentral
AACCUUUACAAUGCACGAAAGUGUGAUAAGGGAAUUCCCAAGUGUGCAUAUACCAUAUGCACUUUUCUUUAGUGUAAAAAGCUAGAGGAAUAAGGGGUGGGUAAGACUAGUGCCAGCCGCCGCGGUAAAACUAGCAUCCCUAGUGGCAGUCACCAUUACUGGGCUUAAAGCGUCCGUAGCUUGUUUGGAUAGUCUCUGCUGAAAUCCUACGGCUUAACCGUAGGGCUUGGCGGAGAAACUGCCAGACUUGAGGACAGGAGAGGUCGGGGGUACUUCUGGGGUAGGGGUGAAAUCCUAUAAUCCUAGAAGGACCAACAGUGGCGAAGGCGCCCGACAUGAAUGUGCCUGACAGUGAGGGACGAGAGCCAGGGUCGCGAAACGGAUUAGAUACCCGUGUAGUCCUGGCCGUAAACGAUGCUGACUAGGUGGGGCGUGUUCUUUGUGAACAUGCUAUGCCGAAGGGAAACCGUUAAGUCAGCCGCCUGGGGAGUACGUCCGCAAGG